Molecule: ribosomal RNA, 429 nt
Filed under: Acidobacteriota bacterium
Lineage: Bacteria; Pseudomonadati; Acidobacteriota
Description: Acidobacteria bacterium partial 16S ribosomal RNA
Rfam family: Bacterial small subunit ribosomal RNA
Source: RNAcentral
UGGGGAAUUUUGGACAAUGGGGGAAACCCUGAUCCAGCCAUCCCGCGUGUGCGAUGAAGGCCUUCGGGUUGUAAAGCACUUUUGGCAGGAAAGAAACGUCAUGGGUUAAUACCCCGUGAAACUGACGGUACCUGCAGAAUAAGCACCGGCUAACUACGUGCCAGCAGCCGCGGUAAUACGUAGGGUGCAAGCGUUAAUCGGAAUUACUGGGCGUAAAGCGUGCGCAGGCGGUUCGGAAAGAAAGAUGUGAAAUCCCAGAGCUCAACUUUGGAACUGCAUUUUUAACUACCGGGCUAGGGUGUGUCAGAGGGGGGUGGAAGUCCGGGUGUAGCAGUGAAAUGCGUAGAUAUGCGGUGGGAAACCGAUGGCGAAGGCAGCCUCCUGGGAUAACACUGACGCUCAUGCACGAAAGCGUGGGGAGCAAACAGG